This 444-nucleotide ribosomal RNA is filed under the name uncultured bacterium. RNAcentral describes it as "partial 16S ribosomal RNA". It matches the Rfam family "Bacterial small subunit ribosomal RNA", at positions 339 to 795 of the family's 1533-position model. The record is from RNAcentral.
CUACGGGACGCAGCAGUGGGGAAUAUUGCACAAUGGGCGCAAGCCUGAUGCAGCAACGCCGCGUGAGGGACGAAGGCCUUCGGGUUGUAAACCUCUUUUAGCAGGGAAGAAGCGAAAGUGACGGUACCUGCAGAAAAAGCACCGGCUAACUACGUGCCAGCAGCCGCGGUAAUACGUAGGGUGCAAGCGUUGUCCGGAAUUAUUGGACGUAAAGAGCUCGUAGGCGGUUUGUCACGUCUGCUGUGAAAUUUCGAGGCUCAACCUCGAACUUGCAGUGGGUACGGGCAGGCUAGAGUGCGGUAGGGGAGAUGGGAAUUCCUGGUGUAGCGGUGGAAUGCGCAGAUAUCAGGAGGAACACCAAUGGCGAAGGCACAUCUCUGGGCCGUAACUGACGCUGAGGAGCGAAAGCGUGGGGAGCAAACAGGAUUAGAUACCCCAGUAGUC